AUCCUUUUGUAGUUCGUAAGCGUGAUGAUUGGGUGGUUCACGCUCUUGUGUGAGAUGUGCCUCCCACAAACCUGAGACAACUUACAGUAAGCCCCACGCUGACU
Molecule: small nucleolar RNA, 104 nt
Organism: Myotis lucifugus (little brown bat)
Lineage: Eukaryota; Metazoa; Chordata; Mammalia; Chiroptera; Vespertilionidae
Product: small nucleolar RNA U13
Source: Ensembl